GAGAGUUUUUAUGCUAUUAGUGUAUUAUUCACCGUUGCUGUGUUAACCAUUGGGAGGGGAAACGACUGCUAAUACCCCAUAGGCUGAGGAGCAAAAGGAGGAUGAUCAGUAGUUGGUCCGAGAGGAUGAUCAGCCACACUUGGCUGAGAUACGGCCUGGACUCCUACGGGACGCAACAAUGGGGACCAUGGAAGUUUCCACAAUAGGUGAAAGCCUGAUGGAGCGAUGCCACAUGGUGGUAGAAGGCCUAUGGGUCGUGAACUUCUUUUCUUGCACUCUUAAAUUAAAGUAAUACACAUGAAUGGUGCAUAAUGUAUGACCGUAUAAAAAACUUUACACGGACAAUGUUUAGAUAUUAAACUCU
Ribosomal RNA from Lupinus angustifolius (narrow-leaved blue lupine), 364 nucleotides. It matches the Rfam family "Bacterial small subunit ribosomal RNA", at positions 31 to 542 of the family's 1533-position model. NCBI's taxonomy places the organism in Eukaryota, Viridiplantae, Streptophyta, Magnoliopsida, Fabales, Fabaceae. The record is from Rfam.